UGAGGACGUCAAAGGUAACAUACU
Molecule: non-coding RNA, 24 nt
Filed under: Arabidopsis thaliana (thale cress)
Lineage: Eukaryota; Viridiplantae; Streptophyta; Magnoliopsida; Brassicales; Brassicaceae
Source: RNAcentral